GGGGCAGUAGCUCAGGGGGAGAGCGCUCGGCUGAAGACCGAGGUGUCGUGGGUUCAAAGAGCGUUUGACGUUCGCUAGCGAGCGUCUGCUUGAAGCUCCCACCUGUCCCA
This 110-nucleotide transfer RNA is filed under the name Candidatus Aenigmatarchaeota archaeon. Its description in RNAcentral is "tRNA-Phe". It matches the Rfam family "tRNA". From Rfam's summary of the family: Transfer RNA (tRNA) molecules are approximately 80 nucleotides in length. Their secondary structure includes four short double-helical elements and three loops (D, anti-codon, and T loops). Lineage: Archaea; Nanobdellati; Candidatus Aenigmatarchaeota. The record is from RNAcentral.